Molecule: small RNA, 365 nt
Filed under: Cryptococcus neoformans H99
Lineage: Eukaryota; Fungi; Basidiomycota; Tremellomycetes; Tremellales; Cryptococcaceae
Description: Cryptococcus neoformans var. grubii H99 hypothetical RNA
Source: RNAcentral
AGGCUUUGUGUUGAGCCUAAAUAAAAGAUAACAGGGCUUGAUCGUACGCCUGUAUCAAGCAGCGAAUUCCUGGAGUGACUCACUCCCCUGUGUGAUUAGAUCGCAUAAUUGUGGCGAUGCAGCUAUCGUAUCAGGCAGUAUAUUAAUUAAACAUUUCAAUGUCUACAUCGAUAAUCCCAGUCUCUUCGCAGAAUUUAACCCAACCCAUUAGAGUGAAGUUAUGUUGGAGGGAUGAGUGAAUGGGAGCAGCGAAGAUCUGCCGAGAGGGAGUUUCUAGCAGAUUUGUUUUAUGUUUUCUAGGAAGUCCUCCACCGUAGUCUUUCGGUAGAUUUUAUUCGAUCAGUAUUGUCGUCCUUCAGUUACUG